This 301-nucleotide long non-coding RNA is filed under the name Lonchura striata (white-rumped munia). RNAcentral describes it as "domestica (Bengalese finch) lncRNA (ENSLSDG00000003944.1)". The record is from RNAcentral. Lineage: Eukaryota; Metazoa; Chordata; Aves; Passeriformes; Estrildidae.
GUGGGUUUUGAUGGGUUUUGGUGGAUUUCAGAAGGGUUUGGGUGGGUUUCGGUGAGUUUUGGUGAAUUUCGGUGGAUUCGGGUGGGUUUUGAUGGAUUUUGGUGGAUUUCAGAAGGGUUUGGGUGGGUUUUGGUGAAUUUUGGUGAAUUUCGGUGGAUUCGGGUGGGUUUUGAUGGGUUUUGUUGAAUUUUGGUGAAUUUCGGUGGAUUUGGGUGGGUUAUGGGUGAGUUUUGGUGAAUUUUGGUGAAUUUCGGUGGAUUCGGGUGGGUUAUGGGUGGGUUUUGGUGGGGUUUGAUGGAUU